UAUCAUUAUAAAGGAAUCCAUUUUGGGUGUUAUUAUUCUAUUAAACUAUUGAGUGUCUUCUCCAAAAUCCAUAGAAUUUAUGUUAGGUGGUUGACCCAUUGGUGCAUAUAUCACGUGAUUGAUGUUAGAUUUUGCAAAUGACAAGAAAGCAAGGGAGCACAGCUUUAGGACUUAGCACAAACAGUUCUUCAGCUUCCCUAUUUCGACCAACUUUCCAAGACAAAGAAUCGAACCCAGAAUGAGAAAAUGCUUGAUCAAACUUAUGGAUUUUCCCAGCAAUGACUCGGCAAACAAACAGAGCUUUCCUCCUAUUAAAAUGGGCUUCCACGUAAGCCAAGGCUCUUUCACUAGUUGAAGUGGCAAAGAUACCAACGCUGCCCACGAAAUCUUUGUUGGCCGAAAACCCAUUUCUCAGAAUGCGACAAGCUCCACACUUGUCAAGAUUGCAUAGGCAUAGGCCAGAAGAAGAGGAGCCCAAUGAACAAGCGACGUUGGUGGCGUAGAACCUCAGUAGUUCGUUCCCGUCAGCCAGGCAACGCGGGUCAACUUUCUUGGGAUGUUUCCGGGCUUUGAUUUUGACCAUUUCUCUGUAGUCCUCAAACCAAGUCAGAAUGUUUUGCAUGUUGUGAACUUUCAAUAUGGUCUCCAUCUUGAUAUGUUGCUUCUCAUCUUGCCCUGUUCUACAAAUUAUUUCGACUAUCUUUCUCGAUGAGUCUCCUUCCUGUAGUUUGCUCACUAAGAGACAAAAACGACAAUAAUAUACUUUCAUUUGCUGGUGAACAUAAAAUAAA
Molecule: long non-coding RNA, 791 nt
Organism: Cannabis sativa
Lineage: Eukaryota; Viridiplantae; Streptophyta; Magnoliopsida; Rosales; Cannabaceae
Exons: 2
Source: RefSeq, a predicted model, not a curated record